GAUGAACGCUGGCGGCGUGCCUAAUACAUGCAAGUCGAGCGAAUGGAUUAAGAGCUUGCUCUUAUGAAGUUAGCGGCGGACGGGUGAGUAACACGCGAGUAACCUGCCCAUAAGACUGGGAUAACUCCGGGAAACCGGGGCUAAUACCGGAUAACAUUUUGAACCGCAUGGUUCGAAAUUGAAAGGCGGCUUCGGCUGUCACUUAUGGAUGGACCCGCGUAGCAUUAGCUAGUUGGUGAGGUAACGGCUCACCAAGGCAACGAUGCGUAGCCGACAUGAGAGGGGGAUCGGCCACACUGGGACUGAGACACGGCCCAGACUCCUACGGGAGGCAGCAGUAGGGAAUCUUCCGCAAUGGACGAAAGUCUGACGGAGCAACGCCGCGUGAGUGAUGAAGGCUUUCGGGUCGUAAAACUCUGUUGUUAGGGAAGAACAAGUGCUAGUUGAAUAAGCUGGCACCUUGACGGUACCUAACCAGAAAGCCACGGCUAACUACGUGCCAGCCGCCGCAGUAA
This 515-nucleotide ribosomal RNA is filed under the name uncultured bacterium. RNAcentral describes it as "partial 16S ribosomal RNA". It matches the Rfam family "Bacterial small subunit ribosomal RNA", at positions 28 to 523 of the family's 1533-position model. The record is from RNAcentral.